Molecule: ribosomal RNA, 265 nt
Filed under: uncultured archaeon
Lineage: Archaea
Description: partial 16S ribosomal RNA
Rfam family: Archaeal small subunit ribosomal RNA
Source: RNAcentral
ACACGACUACAUUAGAUACCCGUGUAGUCCUAGCCGUAAACGAUACUCGCUAGGUGUCGGCCACGGUGCGACCGUUGUCGGUGCCGUAGGGAAGCCGUGAAGCGAGCCACCUGGGAAGUACGGCCGCAAGGCUGAAACUUAAAGGAAUUGGCGGGGGAGCACAACAACGGGUGGAGCCUGCGGUUUAAUUGGAUUCAACGCCGGAAAUCUUACCGGGACCGACAGCAACAUGAAGGCCAAGCUGAAGACUUUGCCGGAUUAGCUG